UACGUAGGUGGCAAGCGUUGUCCGGAAUUACCGGGCGUAAAGCGUGCGCAGGCGGUUCGUGAUGUCUGGUGUGAAAGCCCCGGGCUUAACCUGGGAAUUGCAUUGGAAACUAGCGGGCUGGAGUGUGGCAGAGGGGGGUGGAAUUCCACGUGUAGCAGUGAAAUGCGUAGAGAUGUGGAGGAACACCGAUGGCGAAGGCAGCCCCCUGGGCUAACACUGACGCUCAUGCACGAAAGCGUGGGGAGCAAGACGG
This 253-nucleotide ribosomal RNA is filed under the name uncultured bacterium. RNAcentral describes it as "partial 16S ribosomal RNA". It matches the Rfam family "Bacterial small subunit ribosomal RNA", at positions 524 to 776 of the family's 1533-position model. The record is from RNAcentral.